CCUACGGGAGGCAGCAGUGGGGAAUAUUGCGCAAUGGGGGCAACCCUGACGCAGCCAUGCCGCGUGUGUGAAGAAGGCCCUAGGGUUGUAAAGCACUUUCAAUUGGGAAGAAAAGCUUGUCGUUAAUAGCGUCAAGCCCUGACAUUACCUUUAGAAGAAGGACCGGCUAACUCCGUGCCAGCAGCCGCGGUAAU
Molecule: ribosomal RNA, 194 nt
Filed under: uncultured bacterium
Lineage: Bacteria
Description: partial 16S ribosomal RNA
Rfam family: Bacterial small subunit ribosomal RNA
Source: RNAcentral